This 932-nucleotide long non-coding RNA is filed under the name Carassius auratus (goldfish). Its description in RNAcentral is "lncRNA (ENSCARG00000045274.1)". Lineage: Eukaryota; Metazoa; Chordata; Actinopteri; Cypriniformes; Cyprinidae. The record is from RNAcentral.
AUAGUAGAUUUACAUAAACUAUAUAUACUUCUUGAAGACUAGUACUAAAAUGUCUAUUUAUCAUCUGACUGGAUAAUGUUUGAUAAGUAUUGUAGAUGAGCACAUCCAACAGACAUGAAACAGGUGUCUGAGUGAUAUGUGUAGAAUUCACUUUGUCAACACUGCUAUAGAUGAAUGUGAGUCAUGUAAACAAACAAAUCUACGUAAAGUAACUAAACAUAAGUUAUCUAUUUUAUUUGUCCAUUUGCAAUAUUGAUAAUUUAAGGAACAUUUGUGUUGGAUAAAAAGUGAGUUACAUCAGUUAUUAGUUCAACAUGUAAAUGCAGUAUAUCACAGAUAUAUGACAGAGGAGACUGACUCUUGUCUGGAUGUUACAGGGACAGACGAGACACAUGUGUGUUUAUCUGCUGUAGAGUAACUAAUGAAGGAAUGCUACCAUCUAAGGAUUUGUAUCUUUUGUGGUGGAGCAGGACCUGCAAGGAAAGGUGAAAAAGAGGGAAAACCUGAAACAAAAGAAUAAUGUAAUGACUUUUUGUAUUGUGUAUUUUUGUAGGACAUGAACAUGUCUGUAGACUGGUGUGUGCACUGAGGAUGGAGAAGACCACAGCAUCAUCCUGGAAAUGAUCGAGAGUCACAGAUGAGAUGCUCCAUCACUCCAGCUCUUACCGUCUCAUCAGGACCAGAUGCUGCUGUGGUGUCUUCAUCCUCAGUGACCCCAGAGCCAGUGAGAGCAUCUAGAGAAAGACCACAAGACACUGAGGAUGUGAUUUUGGGGCCUACAAUCCCCUGAUCAACCUGGAGAAGAGAGCCUUGCUCAAGGACACACUGGUGUUCCUGUGGCUCAAGGGGUAGAGCAUUGCGUUAGCAGUGCAAGGUUGUGGGUUCGAAUACCAGGGAACACAUGUUAGGUAAAAACUUUUAGUCUGAAUGCA